AUUUUGAUAUUUUUAUAGAUAGAGAUAAACUAUAAACAGUAAUAAUGUACAGCAAAGUAAAACCUAAAUAAGUCAUCAUGACCAAAAAGGUCAAUUGACCCCUUAAGGAGUUAUUGCCCUUUAUAGUCAAUUUUUAACAAUUUAAAAUUUGUAAAUUUUCACUAACAUUAUCUGCUGUAACUACUGGGCCAAGUUCAUUAUAGAGAUAAUUGCAAGCAGCAAGAAUGUUCAGUAAAGUUAGAUCUGCAAACAUAUCACCAUCAC
This 264-nucleotide long non-coding RNA is filed under the name Mytilus galloprovincialis (Mediterranean mussel). The record is from RNAcentral. Lineage: Eukaryota; Metazoa; Mollusca; Bivalvia; Mytilida; Mytilidae.